This 492-nucleotide ribosomal RNA is filed under the name uncultured bacterium. RNAcentral's name for it is "partial 16S ribosomal RNA". It matches the Rfam family "Bacterial small subunit ribosomal RNA", at positions 29 to 507 of the family's 1533-position model. The record is from RNAcentral.
AGUGAACGCUGGCGGUAGGCCUAACACAUGCAAGUCGAACGGCAGCACAGUAAGAGCUUGCUCUUACGGGUGGCGAGUGGCGGACGGGUGAGGAAUACAUCGGAAUCUACUUUUUCGUGGGGGAUAACGUAGGGAAACUUACGCUAAUACCGCAUACGACCUACGGGUGAAAGCAGGGGAUCUUCGGACCUUGCGCGAUUGAAUGAGCCGAUGUCGGAUUAGCUAGUUGGCGGGGUAAAGGCCCACCAAGGCGACGAUCCGUAGCUGGUCUGAGAGGAUGAUCAGCCACACUGGAACUGAGACACGUUCCAGACUCCUACGGGAGGCAGCGGUGGGGAAUAUUGGACAAUGGGCGCAAGCCUGAUCCAGCCAUACCGCGUGGGUGAAGAAGGCCUUCGGGUUGUAAAGCCCUUUUGUUGGGAAAGAAAAGCAGCAGGUUAAUACCCCGCUGUUCUGACGGUACCCAAAGAAUAAGCACCGGCUAACUUCGUG